ACGGGAGGCAGCAGUGAGGAAUAUUGGUCAAUGGGCGAGAGCCUGAACCAGCCAAGUAGCGUGAAGGACGACGGCCCUAUGGGUCUUAAACUUCUUUUGUUGGGGAAUAAAGUCAGGGACGCGUCCCUGUUUGUAUGUACCUUACGAAUAAGCAUCGGCUAAUUCCGUGCCAGCAGCCGCGGUAAUACGGAAGAUGCGAGCGUUAUCCGGAUUUAUUGGGUUUAAAGGGAGCGUAGGCGGCCUUUUAAGUCAGCGGUUAAAUGUCAGCGCCCAACGUUGGCAUGCCGUUGAAACUGGAGGGCUUGAAUACACACAAGGUAAGUGGAAUUCGUCGUGUAGCGGUGAAAUGCUUAGAUAUGACGAAGAACUCCGAUUGCGAAGGCAGCUUACUGGGGUGCGAUUGACGCUGAGGCUCGAAAGUGCGGGAAUCAAACAGGAUUAGAUACCCUGGUA
RNAcentral lists this ribosomal RNA (453 nucleotides) under uncultured Paraprevotella sp. Its description in RNAcentral is "partial 16S ribosomal RNA". It matches the Rfam family "Bacterial small subunit ribosomal RNA", at positions 341 to 792 of the family's 1533-position model. Lineage: Bacteria; Pseudomonadati; Bacteroidota; Bacteroidia; Bacteroidales; Prevotellaceae. The record is from RNAcentral.